AACGAACGCUGGCGGCAUGCCUAACACAUGCAAGUCGAACGAGACCUUCGGGUCUAGUGGCGCACGGGUGCGUAACGCGUGGGAACCUGCCCUUAGGUUCGGAAUAACUCCCCGAAAGGGGUUCUAAUACCGGAUAAUCUCUUCGGACCAAAGAUUUAUCGCCUUUGGAUGGGCCCGCGUUGGAUUAGCUAGUUGGUAGGGUAAAAGCCUACCAAGGCGACGAUCCAUAGCUGGUCUGAGAGGAUGAUCAGCCACACUGGGACUGAGACACGGCCCAGACUCGUACGGGAGGCAGCAGUGGGGAGUAUUGGACAAUGGGCGAAAGCCUGAUCCAGCAAUGCCGCGUGAGUGAUGAAGGCCUUAGGGUUGUAAAGCUCUUUUACCCGGGAUGAUAAUGACAGUACCGGGAGAAUAAGCGCCGGCUAACUCCGUG
Molecule: ribosomal RNA, 433 nt
Filed under: uncultured bacterium
Lineage: Bacteria
Description: partial 16S ribosomal RNA
Rfam family: Bacterial small subunit ribosomal RNA
Source: RNAcentral